CCCUUAGAUGUUCUGGGCUGCAUGCGCGCUACACUGACGCACGCAACAGGUGCCUGCUCCGAGAGGACUGGGUAAUCAUUUGAGUGUGCGUCGUGAUGGGGAUAGAAUAUUGUAAUUAUUACUCUUCAACGAGGAAUUCCUAGUAAGCGCCAGUCAGCAGCUUGCGCUGAUUACGUCCCUGCCCUUUGUACACACCGCCCGUCGCACCUACCGAUUGGAUGGUCCGGUGAAGCCUCGGGAUUGUGGUUCUUGCCGCUUUAUUGUGGCGUGACCGCGAGAACUUGUCUAAACCUUAUCAUCUAGAGGAAGGUGAAGGCGUAACA
Molecule: ribosomal RNA, 323 nt
Filed under: uncultured eukaryote
Lineage: Eukaryota
Description: partial 18S ribosomal RNA
Rfam family: Eukaryotic small subunit ribosomal RNA
Source: RNAcentral